AUGAAUAGUAAUAGGGCCCCUGGACCUGAUAAUAUUCUAGUGGAGUUUUAUAAACAUUGUUGGGAUUUCGUCAAGAAAGAUAUCAUGAGACUUUUUGAAGCAUUCCAUAACAACACUCUGGAUGUUGAUCGCCUGAACUAUGGGAUUAUCACCUUGAUUCCAAAGGUCAAUGGGGCUAAAUGCAUCCAACAAUACCGUCCCACUUGCUUGCUUAGAUGCCCCUAUAAGCUUAUCACUAAGGUGUUGGACAAUAGGGUUGCUAUCUUUGCAGACAAACUGAUCAGUAAACACCAAAAUGCUUUCAUCAAGCAUAGAAACAUCAUGGAUGGUAUCCUUACUUUGCAUGAGGUGUUGCAUCAAACUCAUCGUAGAAAGAGAGUGGGUGUGGUUUUAAAAUUAGACUUCGAAAAGGCCUAUGACAAGAUCAAUUGGGAUUUCCUCAUUGAGUGUCAUCGCAACCGUGGCUUUGGAUCGACCUGGUGUGGCUGGAUAGAGAAAAUCCUCAAGAAUGGCACUUUGAGCAUUAAGCUCAACAAUGAGAGUGGUCCAUACUUCCAAAGUCACAAAGGGGUUCGCCAAGGCGAUCCUCAUUCCCCCUUCUUGUUCAAUAUUGCUGUAGAAACUCUAUCUAAAAUGGUUCGCAAUGCU
RNAcentral lists this ribosomal RNA (648 nucleotides) under Triticum aestivum (bread wheat). RNAcentral's name for it is "partial small subunit ribosomal RNA". The record is from RNAcentral. Lineage: Eukaryota; Viridiplantae; Streptophyta; Magnoliopsida; Poales; Poaceae.